Molecule: RNA transcript, 2608 nt
Organism: Setaria italica (foxtail millet)
Lineage: Eukaryota; Viridiplantae; Streptophyta; Magnoliopsida; Poales; Poaceae
Exons: 3
Source: RefSeq, a predicted model, not a curated record
UCAUUCCGCUCCAUCCCGUCCGCUCCCCCUCCCUGCGUCCCCGCCGCGCCGCCACCACUCCCUCCCUGCGUCACCACCGCGGCGCCUCCCGACGACCCCUCCCUGCGUCGCCGCCUCCAACCUCCCGUCGAUCCCCUUCCUCCCCACCCUCUCGCCGCUAAAACAGAUCUGCUGGGAGGCUGCUGCCGCUGCCGCCGGGAUGGCGACGCACACUUCACGCCGUCGCAUGCGCACGAGGCGUCUCACCACCACUUGGCGUCCGCCGGCUGAGGCGGCGAAGGCCACCGCGUGCCUGCACGCUUCCGCGCCGCCGGCCACUGCGGUCGGCGCUGUGCCCGCCACACCUCUCGCGGCGGCGUCCCCAGCAUCCUCCUUCGCGGCGUGCCCGCCCACCCACAACCGAAUCUCCAUCGGCCCCGGCGCGUCGAUGGCCGCGGACGCGCUCUCCAUCAUCCCAGGUGCCGUGCUGCGGAACCUCUCCGACAAGCUGUACGAGAAGCGGAAGAACGCUGCGCUCGAGGUGAGAUUGAGGGGAUCGUGAAGCAGCUCCCAAUGGCUAGCGAGCAUGAGAAGAUAUCAGCGGUCAAAUCGCUGCUACCAACGAUUUCACCUACUCGCUGCGAACCAUCGGAAGGUUUGCAUAGACCACUGUGGUUCAUGCUUCCGGUGUUGACGGGGUCAGAUUUGUUGAGUUCUCUGUCGCUUUGAUGUUAGCAGGGUGGGUUGAUUGGCCUUGCAGCAGUUACUGUCGGACACGCGCAAAGAGAUGGCCUGUCAAGAGGAGGAGGAGGGUAUAUUUACCAAUGGAUCAUAAUCAUGCGGUGGAUAUCAGUCACCUGGAAUUAAUCAUUUUCUCCAGGGUUCUGAUAUAUAACACCUCCCAAAUAUAAGCAGGUGUGUUUGUUUCAUGGAGCAUCAGUAUGUAGUAGAGAAGAGUUCUUCAUCUAAAAUUGCUAUAUUCUUUAAGUGGUAAGUGGUAAUUGAGGGCUUGGAUUGGAUAUAAGUGGUAGUUGUCACAGUCUAGAUACCAGAGCUUCUUGAGAGUGCACGGGUACAGAUGUUGUGUAUAGUGCUUGAGGACAGGUUUUACAUGACAUGUAUUUUUCUAAAUACCAGUUCACCUGCCGUUUCACUAACGCAAGGAAAUCACACAAGCAUUCCGGUUUUCUAAGUUUAAGCUGCCCAGUGACCAUGAGUUUAAAAACUAAGGAGGGGACUUUCCUCUGUUUUAACUCCUUCAUUAGCGAAUGAUAGAUCUGCAGUUGAGAUGCAAACCUGAUUCCAAGGUAGAGGGGGCAAGUUAUAUUUGUUUAUUAUUUUUGUUAUCUAUGGUUGAGAUGCAAACCUGAUUCUAAGGUAAGGGGGUAAGAUAUAUUUGUUUACUGUUUUUGUUUAUAUGAUAGUAGAAUGCAUGUUUUUGUCCAAUGUUUAGUUGGUCGGUGUGUAUCUUGUAUCAAAGUAAUAUCAAUUUUUAUGCCCGUAGCAACAAACGGUCACGUACUAGUACUUACUACUUAAAAAAAGUAAAAUUGGGAUUUUUUUUCGUACGUCGCCCUCCGCUCCGCUUCGUGGCCCUCCAUCCUCUCCCGUGUCCUCUCCUCACUCACCCGUCCUUCCACCUCGCGUGACCUGCUCCGCCUUCUUCCGCGCUCCGCUCCGUCUGAUCCCGCAAAUUCCUCCAAGCUGUCCCUAAGCCUCGCGCGCCCUGCGCCGCCGCCCUGCGCUCUCCUCUUCUCCAUGCUCUCCCUGCGUCGCCGCCGUCGCUCUCCUCUCCUCGCUCGCUCGGCGUCGCUGGCCUCCGAGCCGUCCCUCUGCCUCGCGCGUCCUGCGCCGUCGCCCUACGCUCUCCUCCUCUCCUCACUCUCCUUGCGCCGCCGCUGCCGCGCACUCUCCUCGCUUGCCCAGCGCCGCCGCCGCUCUCCUCCUCUCCUCGCUCGCCCGGCGCUGCUGCCCUCCGAGUCAUCUCUCCGCCUCGCGCGCCCUGCUCCUCUCCCCGCGCCGCCGCCCGCCUCAUCCCCGUGGAUUCGUUGCCCUUCUCUUUUCGUUCUUCCUGUGCCGUAUCCUCACUGUUUCUUGGUUUCCUGAGCAGAUCAUCCGCAAGGGAUUUUACCGGACCAAGAAUGUGGAGCACAAGGGCCAGGUGGAUUUGGUGACGGACAAGGUCUGCGAGGACCUCAUCUUCAACCACCUCAACUGGCAGCGGCACACAGGCUCGGGGUCGACGUUGCGUGGGUGCGUGGUGACCGCGCCUGCAGCACGCGUUCCCCCGGGCAGCGGUCGUGGCUCUAAGCCUCGUCUACGGCGUGGAAUGACGAGGGCGGAAGGGUGGGUAGUGGGCAGCUCACCGGCGAAUAUAGACUCCAUGAGAGAUGGCACCGAUGCGUCACUAUAGGCACGGACGAUGCCCAAGAUGCACCGCCCAAGGUAUUUAGCUGUGCACUCGCUUCGGCUUUGAAGAACGGCAAAUAUGAGGUUGCACAAUCUUUGAAAUCCUCCAUUGUCCUAUUCUAAUUAGCCUCAACCAUACACGUCACAUGCAUCGUUGCUUGCACAUGACAUUAUACCUUAGGAUCUUAUCAGAGUGAACUACAUUGAAAGGCAUAUGUAA